RNAcentral lists this transfer RNA (493 nucleotides) under Tolypothrix sp. HA4964-CV2. RNAcentral's name for it is "16S-23S ribosomal RNA intergenic spacer". The stretch from base 257 to 329 matches the Rfam family "tRNA". Lineage: Bacteria; Bacillati; Cyanobacteriota; Cyanophyceae; Nostocales; Tolypothrichaceae. The record is from RNAcentral.
UAAAGGAGACCUACCCACUCAGAUAUCGAAAACAACAAGUAAUUAGAUAUUGAGUUGGUCAUCCUAAAGGUCGGUCGCGACAAUUGUUAUUUGCUUUCAAACUAUAUUUUGGUUCUUUUGGGCUAUUAGCUCAGGUGGUUAGAGCGCACCCCUGAUAAGGGUGAGGUCCCUGGUUCGAGUCCAGGAUGGCCCACCUGAAAACAGUGGUCAGAGAAAAAGCUGGUAACUGUUAACUCAAUUCUGGUAACUGAAUUCUGGGGGUUUAGCUCAGUUGGUAGAGCGCCUGCUUUGCAAGCAGGAUGUCAGCGGUUCGAGUCCGCUAACCUCCACCAGAAGUAGAUGUGAAAAAUUCAGCAACUGAGCAUUAUUAGCCAGACUGCUGGAUAUAUUUCCAGUGAUAGAACCUUGAAAACUGCAUAGUCAGGAGAAUAAAACAGCAGACACAGACGCAAAUAGAGUCAGUGUUUGCCAUGAUAUUUAGCAAUUGUAUUUU